AGUCCCGCAACGAGCGCAACCCUUGAUCUUAGUUGCCAGCAUUCAGUUGGGCACUCUAAGGUGACUGCCGGUGACAAACCGGAGGAAGGUGGGGAUGACGUCAAAUCAUCAUGCCCCUUAUGACCUGGGCUACACACGUGCUACAAUGGACAGAACAAAGGGCAGCGAAACCGCGAGGUUAAGCCAAUCCCACAAAUCUGUUCUCAGUUCGGAUCGCAGUCUGCAACUCGACUGCGUGAAGCUGGAAUCGCUAGUAAUCGCGGAUCAGCAUGCCGCGGUGAAUACGUUCCCGGGCCUUGUACACACCGCCCGUCACACCACGAGAGUUUGUAACACCCGAAGUCGGUGAGGU
This 352-nucleotide ribosomal RNA is filed under the name Bacillus halotolerans. RNAcentral describes it as "bacterial SSU rRNA". It matches the Rfam family "Bacterial small subunit ribosomal RNA", at positions 1083 to 1436 of the family's 1533-position model. Lineage: Bacteria; Bacillati; Bacillota; Bacilli; Caryophanales; Bacillaceae. The record is from RNAcentral.